Pelobates cultripes (western spadefoot toad) is the source of this 322-nucleotide non-coding RNA. The record is from the annotation of a GenBank genome assembly. Lineage: Eukaryota; Metazoa; Chordata; Amphibia; Anura; Pelobatidae.
UAUAAUAAUAACCAUAAUAAUAAUUUAACAAAUAAACAUGGGUAAACAUACACUGCCCUCGCAUCCGAUUCCUUCUAUUAAUAUAAAAGGCAAUGACCCCCAUAUAAAUAACACAUAUAUAACAUAUAUACCAACAUAUUCCAACAUACCAACUUAAAGUGCCAAACAUAAACUAACCAUGGCAGGGCUAUACCCGGAUACCCCUACCCCACUAGGUUCUGAGCCACCGACAGGACUCGAAACCUACCAACCACCAAUGACCACAGUUUUCCGUCUUCAUGAUGUUCAUCCUAGGGAGCCUAUUUCUUCUCCUUCAACCCCC